Non-coding RNA from Sturnus vulgaris (Common starling), 887 nucleotides. The record is from RefSeq and is a predicted model, not a curated record. NCBI's taxonomy places the organism in Eukaryota, Metazoa, Chordata, Aves, Passeriformes, Sturnidae.
GGCAGGGGCCACCUGGGCUGGGGCCACCUGGAGCUCCUGUCCUGGGUGGGGCAGGGCUGUUUUUGUACAGAUACACAAACACCCUGCUCAGCUGGAGAUGAGGUUUGCAGAGAGAACUGUUUUUCCAUCGGGCAGUUUGGGUUCUGUGUUUCAGCCUGAACCGAGGUCUAGAUCGAGCCCUGCUAUCGUCUUCUGAGUUUCACACUUGCACAUUGCUUUUUGGUUUGGGUUUUGUUAUUUUUUUUCCUCCUUUUUUAAUUAUAAAACUUUUACCUUGUUCUUGAAAGCUGCAGCACCUGUCUUGGAAACUUGCAGUUGUAAUAUCUUUGCUUUGGUUUGUUGUAUUUUUUGGUUUUUUGUUGUUCUGCUGAGACUUUUUAUGAAGGGAGCGUCGGCAGAGGGAAAAAAUGUUGCCUGUGUGUUGCAUCUCACAGAAGUUGAAAUCCUGGCCCUGUUGAAGGGGCCAGGGUGUCACCUGGUAUUUCUAGUCUUAACUGAUGCUGUGGCACAUCUGCCUUGUGCAGAGAUCUCCAUUUUUUACUGUGACUCUCUUGGUUAACAGUUAGCUGCCGACAUAAUUUGGUAUCCCAGGCCAAUGGAGAACCAUUUCAGGUCACAUCCUCGCAGCCAUCUGGGUUGUUCAGCAACCCAAGGGUAUAAAUGUAUUUAUAUGCAUAUAUUGUAUUGAUUCUAAUAUAAAACUUCUGAUCUAAAGCAUUUUGAAUUGCUGGAUAAAGGGAUUUGUUUGAAGAGUGUAUAACUAGUUCUUGAAGAGGUACAGCUUCAGAAUGUACACAGAUUGUGCAUUGUGUAUAGACUACUCUGGCUUUUCCUCAGCCUCUACUUUUGUAUUAAAAAUAUGACUGAAUAAAUCCUUGAAAUAUUAA